AUGGCUCAGGAUGAACGCUGGCGGCAGGCUUAAUACAUGCAAGUCGAACGGUAAGGCCGAGUGUAGCAAUACACGAGGUACACGAGUGGCGCACGGGUGCGUAACGCGUAUGCAACCUGCCCUGACCGGGACAAAACAGCUGGAAACGGCUGCUAAUAUCCCAUGGUUACCGAGGAGGGCAUCCUCCUUUGUAUAAAGAUUCAUUGGUCGGGAGUGGGCAUGCGUAUUAUUAGGUAGUUGGUGGGGUAACGGCCCACCAAGCCGACGAUGAGUUAGGGGUUCUGAGAGGACUUAACCCCCACACUGGAACUGAGACACGGUCCAGACUCCGUACGGGAGGCAGCAGGUAGGGAAUAGUUGGGCAAUGGAGGCAACUCUGACCCAGCCCAUGCCGCGUGAAGGAAGACGGCCCUAAGGGUUGUAAACUUCUUUUAUCGUGGAGUAAACCCGGUCACGUGUGGCCGGUUGAGAGUACACGAGGAAUAAGUAUCGGCUAACUCCGUGCCAGCCGCGGC
This 515-nucleotide ribosomal RNA is filed under the name uncultured bacterium. RNAcentral's name for it is "bacterial SSU rRNA". It matches the Rfam family "Bacterial small subunit ribosomal RNA", at positions 19 to 518 of the family's 1533-position model. The record is from RNAcentral.